RNAcentral lists this ribosomal RNA (280 nucleotides) under uncultured bacterium. Its description in RNAcentral is "partial 16S ribosomal RNA". It matches the Rfam family "Bacterial small subunit ribosomal RNA", at positions 338 to 609 of the family's 1533-position model. The record is from RNAcentral.
CCUACGGGAGGCAGCAGUGGGGAAUUUUGGGCAAUGGGCGCAAGCCUGACCCAGCGACGCCGCGUGGAGGAUGAAGGCCUUCGGGUUGUAAACUCCUGUCAGGUGGGAAGAAAUCACUGCCGGUGAACAUCCGGCGGUGUUGACGGUACCACCAAAGGAAGCCCCGGCUAACUCCGUGCCAGCAGCCGCGGUAAUACGGAGGGGGCAAGCGUUAUUCGGAUUUACUGGGCGUAAAGCGCACGUAGGCGGCAUUGCAAGUCGUAGGUGAAAGCCCUCGGCU